AUGAAUGAUGGUUGUAUAUAAUUUUUUACAUGAUUUCUCUCUAUAAAAUUAUACAAUUUUCUUCUUAAAGAUUCUCAAAUCUCAUCCGUUCUUUUUCUGAUAUUGAGGAAUUUGUCGUUCAAAUUGCGAGUUAUUUAUAUUUUUGAGGUUUUAAAGCAAUUUUCUUUAUUAUUGAACUUUUAUUGUCUGUAAGCGUCAUUUGUUUUUUGGGUCAUUUCCUAUUGGAUUUGAAUAUGCAUGUACUAAUUUUUCUGUUAUACUUAUUCAUGUUUGGAUUUAGGUAGUGAGAUGCAAUCUUAUGGAUGAUUUUGAGUACAAACUCAAAGAUAAUGGACUAUUGUAGGCAUUUUCUCCUCCAUUUUCUCUUCAGGUUAAGAGUUGGUGCAACAAAGGUGUUUGAUGGUAUGCUUGAACCAAAUAGAAGAUUUUUCUUACAGCUUUUCUACAAUAUAUUUCUCUGUCAAUUCUGAAGAUUUUGGUUCAGUAUGGACUUUCUUUGGCUUCUGAUGGUGAGUCUAAGUUGUUAUGAUUGAAGUUAAACGAAGAUUAUUAUUGCACUUUUUGGUGCUUUAGUGAUUGAUUGGAAAAACAUUGGCAUAUUUGAUGAGAGAAGAGGAAAAAGUAGAGACGUCGCCCUUGACAGUGUUUGCUUCGUUCCCCACAUAGGAGGGCGAUGAUGAGUCCAAUAUGUCUACCAAUCAACUGCUUUUGUUAUGAAAAAUACAGGGAUCACCUGCUCAAAUUUACUGAUAAUGAGUCAAGGAACAAAUACUUAACAUGAAUCAAUCGAAGAAGCUUUUUGUUCAUUCUUCCAAGUUGUAAUGAUUUUUUAGUACUGAUAUGAUAUUUGUCAUUAGUCCAUAUUAAAUUUAACCAUUUGAACCGCAUUUUACUUAGGUGUACGGUAUAAUUUUCCAGCGAAGGGUGUUCAAUCUAAGUUGUACGGACUCUUCACGUUUGAUGCCGCACCCGUGUUGGAUUCGCCAAAAAUACCCAUUCAAAUAGGAUUUUGGAGAAAGAAAGGUUUAUAUAACGGGUAUUGAAAAAGGUUUUAUACCAAGUUUUCAUUGUAAUAAGAAAAAUAUUUUGUUGAAUAAACUGUUUUCUUGUUGAGAAAAAAAUUAUUGCCGAGAGUGUACUAUCAAAUCAUGAGUGAUGACUGGGCAGGUAAUUGCGUUCUUAUGAUAUUAGGUUUGUAUGCUAUUGAUAGUUAUAGAAAGCAUCGGAAGGAGCAGAAUGUCAAGAAGGAGGAGCAGAAUGUCAAGUUGAAAGUAUUAAGAGAGGUAAAUCAACAACGUGAAGAUCACAUUUUGGCAGAAAGGGAAAGUUGUUUCCCCUCCAUCCAUAUAUGCACGUUUGGAAGAGGAAGAGAAGGCGCUUAGUCCUGGAAGAGAAGAGGAAGGAAAUAACUAGCUGUCUCAGUUUAGUAAUGUUUUAAGAUUAGUCAAUUUUUAUAUAUAAGUUUUUCUUUUAGUCUUUUUUAAUC
This is a long non-coding RNA of Solanum tuberosum (potato), 1486 nucleotides long. RefSeq lists it as uncharacterized. The transcript is spliced from 2 exons. The record is from RefSeq and is a predicted model, not a curated record. NCBI's taxonomy places the organism in Eukaryota, Viridiplantae, Streptophyta, Magnoliopsida, Solanales, Solanaceae.